GACGAACGCUGGCGGCGUGCCUAAUACAUGCAAGUCGAACGAACCGCGACUGAGUGCUUGCACUUGGUCAAGGUGAGUGGCGAACGGGUGAGUAACACGUGGGUAACCUACCUCAUAGUGGGGGAUAACAGUCGGAAACGACUGCUAAUCCCGCAUAGGACAUAGGAUCACAUGAUCCAGUGAGGAAAGGUGGCGCAAGCUAUCGCUAAGAGAUGGACCCGCGGUGCAUUAGCUAGUUGGUAGGGUAAAGGCCUACCAAGGCGAUGAUGCAUAGCCGACCUGAGAGGGUGAUCGGCCACAUUGGGACUGAGACACGGCCCAAACUCCUACGGGAGGCAGCAGUAGGGAAUCUUCCGCAAUGGACGCAAGUCUGACGGAGCAACGCCGCGUGAGUGAAGAAGGUCUUCGGAUCGUAAAGCUCUGUUGUUAGAGAAGGACAGCGCAUAGAGUAACUGCUAUGCGUGUGACGGUAUCUAACCAGAAAGCCACGGCUAACUACGUG
Molecule: ribosomal RNA, 502 nt
Filed under: uncultured bacterium
Lineage: Bacteria
Description: partial 16S ribosomal RNA
Rfam family: Bacterial small subunit ribosomal RNA
Source: RNAcentral